CUGCGGAGGGAUCAUUACAAGUGACCCCGGUCUAACCACCGGGAUGUUCAUAACCCUUUGUUGUCCGACUCUGUUGCCUCCGGGGCGACCCUGCCUUCGGGCGGGGGCUCCGGGUGGACACUUCAAACUCUUGCGUAACUUUGCAGUCUGAGUAAACUUAAUUAAUAAAUUAAAACUUUUAACAACGGAUCUCUUGGUUCUGGCAUCGAUGAAGAACGCAGCGAAAUGCGAUAAGUAAUGUGAAUUGCAGAAUUCAGUGAAUCAUCGAAUCUUUGAACGCACAUUGCGCCCCCUGGUAUUCCGGGGGGCAUGCCUGUUCGAGCGUCAUUUCACCACUCAAGCCUCGCUUGGUAUUGGGCAACGCGGUCCGCCGCGUGCCUCAAAUCGACCGGCUGGGUCUUCUGUCCCCUAAGCGUUGUGGAAACUAUUCGCUAAAGGGUGUUCGGGAGGCUACGCCGUAAAACAACCCCAUUUCUAAGGUUGACCUCGGAUCAGGUAGGGAUACCCGCUGAACUUAAGCAUAUCAAUAAGCGGAGGAAAAGAAACCAACAGGGAUUGCUCUAGUAACGGCGAGUGAAGCAGCAAUAGCUCAAAUUUGAAAUCUGGCGUCUUCGACGUCCGAGUUGUAAUUUGUAGAGGAUGCUUCUGAGUAACCACCGACCUAAGUUCCUUGGAACAGGACGUCAUAGAGGGUGAGAAUCCCGUAUGCGGUCGGAAAGGUGCUCUAUACGUAGCUCCUUCGACGAGUCGAGUUGUUUGGGAAUGCAGCUCUAAAUGGGAGGUAAAUUUCUUCUAAAGCUAAAUAUUGGCCAGAGACCGAUAGCGCACAAGUAGAGUGAUCGAAAGAUGAAAAGCACUUUGGAAAGAGAGUUAAAAAGCACGUGAAAUUGUUAAAAGGGAAGGGAUUGCAACCAGACUUGCUCGCGGUGUUCCGCCGGUCUUCUGACCGGUCUACUCGCCGCGUUGCAGGCCAGCAUCGUCUGGUGCCGCUGGAUAAGACUUGAGGAAUGUAGCUCCCUCGGGAGUGUUAUAGCCUCUUGUGAUGCAGCGAGCGCCGGGCGAGGUCCGCGCUCGGCUA
This 1078-nucleotide ribosomal RNA is filed under the name Cladosporium cladosporioides. Its description in RNAcentral is "eukaryotic LSU rRNA". The stretch from base 482 to 1078 matches the Rfam family "Eukaryotic large subunit ribosomal RNA", at positions 1 to 519 of the family's 3401-position model. The record is from RNAcentral. Lineage: Eukaryota; Fungi; Ascomycota; Dothideomycetes; Cladosporiales; Cladosporiaceae.